Long non-coding RNA from Nylanderia fulva, 509 nucleotides. RefSeq lists it as uncharacterized. NCBI's taxonomy places the organism in Eukaryota, Metazoa, Arthropoda, Insecta, Hymenoptera, Formicidae. The record is from RefSeq and is a predicted model, not a curated record.
UCUCUCACGUCUCUACAUAUGUAGAGAACCGGAUGACAGUGACAAAUUAAACGCGAAUCGUAGAAGGCAGAAAUUCGCGGGAAGUGCUCUCUAAGUAUUGCUUUGUCCUUUCCCAAUCGCGAAAAUAGCGCCGAUGAUUUGCCAAGCACUACAUUCACAACAUUCGCAACAAUGGCAACACAGAGGAUUGUCGAGAUAUAUUCGAAACGGAGAAAUUCUGUGGACGAGGAGGAAGGAUUAAUCGAUGUAACGUCCCGUUACAUAUAUGAAACGGGGAGAAGAAUGAAGAGAAGAAAAAGAGAGUCGUCUGAGAAUAUAAUUUUCAAAACUCACGAAAAUCAAGAACAAUCUGGAAUGAGGCAAAGUAAUAAAAUAAAUUAUACUCUAAUAGAUGAAAUGAAGAGAACAAUAAAGGAGAGAAAAUGGAAAGUUAUCUGAUUGUGAGAAUAUAAUUUUCAAAACACACGAAAGUUAAAAACAAUUUGAAACAAUUAUGGCAAAUUAAUACA